RNAcentral lists this non-coding RNA (323 nucleotides) under Sulfitobacter sp. HI0023. Its description in RNAcentral is "Oceanibulbus sp. HI0023 Bacterial large subunit ribosomal RNA". It matches the Rfam family "Bacterial large subunit ribosomal RNA", at positions 1 to 280 of the family's 2925-position model. Lineage: Bacteria; Pseudomonadati; Pseudomonadota; Alphaproteobacteria; Rhodobacterales; Roseobacteraceae. The record is from Rfam by way of RNAcentral.
AAUCAAGCGCGAAAAGGGCGUUUGGUGAAUGCCUUGGCAGUAAGAGGCGAUGAAAGACGUGAUACUCUGCGAUAAGCCAUGAGGAGCUGAGAAUAAGCUUUGAUCCAUGGAUUUCUGAAUGGGGCAACCCACCUGAUACUGUGUUAUUGUUGCCGCUUCGGCGGCAGUCAAUAAUGCGGUAAAACAGGUAUUUUUAACCUGAAUACAUAGGGUUAAAAAGGCAAACCCGGGGAACUGAAACAUCUAAGUACCCGGAGGAAAGGAAAUCAAUAUGAUACUCCCCUAGUAGCGGCGAGCGAACGGGGACCAGCCGAGCCAUGAGU